ACAGGCGAGGUUCGAAAGGUGAGUUUUUAGAAUUGUCCAAUGGCAAGCUGUGACAGUUGUGUGUACCCUGGAGCUCAUCCCACCGUGGAAAACUCUGGGAAUGUCUGUCUCCACAGUCCUCGGCAAGCGGCCCCAAUAGUGGCAUUGUUUCAAGCUUUUGGAAUAUUGUUUUUGGGAAAUAAAGUGACUCCUGCUCAUUUAGCUGUGCCAACUCACUUGUUUGUCUUAUUCUUUUUGCUCAGCAGGUGGCAUUUUUGUUCAGUGAUUUUAUUUGUAUCCGCCCGUGUUCAUCAACUAUGACAUAUUAAUCAUGCAAAUUAGGAUAUGAUUAAUGAAGGAAAAAUUAAUUCCGCCACUGCAUCUGGGUCUGCUGUGACAGCUUAGUGAAUGCCCUCAUUCUCUGAUGCCAUCAGCAACUUCUCCAGGGCCGCUGCCGAUUGAUAUAUUAAUGUUUAGGGUAAAGGUUAGGGACCGAAGCCCAGAGAGACUUUCCUCUCCAGGGCUGGUGUUACAAGCACAUAUUUGCCUGACAGUGCACAUUUUUGAGACAGCGUGUUGCUAAACCCCGUCCUCCUUCCCACUGUGUGAACAGUUUGUAGGAGGAGGGAGUUCGCUCUGUCUUUCGGUGUCUUCUAGACUGAAGCCCACUGUGUCCAGGGCAAGCUCCCCGACCAACUCUGACUCUUGCUGUUUCCAAGGUCCCAGCUUCUUGUUUUCCAGAUGCUAUUUGCAGACCACGCAGUGACCCAUUCGUCCUUGUACUGCUGGGUUAGGGUCUCCCUGACCUAGCUGGUCUCAGCAAGUGGCGUCCAUCGUGGGGACUCAAAUCCAGGUCGAAGGGUUGCCAGAACAAUGGUUGGAGUGGAAAACUAGCUGGAGGACACUCGAGUACUCUUAAAGCAAUCCCUGUGAUGCAGAGGAAGAGAUUCCAGGAGGAUCCCGAGGACCCCCGGUUGCAGCCAUGUCAAGACUGACGCUGCGGAGGACCCCAACUGUCACGAGCAACACCCAUCGAACACAGCCACCCACCUGGGGACAGAACAGGAAGCUGUCACAGAUGGCGGAAGAAAACCUGAGGAAAGCGGGACAACCAGUCACAAUGAAUAAUUUAAUGAUAGCUCUGAUAGCGGUUAUCACCACCGCCUCUGCAGAUGUGGAUCCUGACUCCUGCAAGAAGUAGCUCACCGUGACAAAGCUGCCUUUGCUUUUAUCGAUUUGCAAAUCAGAGAAGGGGGACAUAUUGGGAGCAGGCCCCCCAAAAUCUGGCCAUAAACUGGCCCCAAAACUGGACUGGCCAUAAACUGGCCCCAAAACUGGAC
This 1319-nucleotide long non-coding RNA is filed under the name Homo sapiens (human). RNAcentral's name for it is "HSALNT0344326". The record is from RNAcentral. Lineage: Eukaryota; Metazoa; Chordata; Mammalia; Primates; Hominidae.